GACGGGCCCGCACAAGCAGCGGAGCGUGUGGUUUAAUUCGUUGACUACACGAAGAACCUUACCUGGGUUGACAUAAUGGUGGUAGGGAUCCGAAAGGUGACCGACCUUCGGGGAGCCAUUACAGGUGUUGCAUGGCUGUCGUCAGCUCGUGUCGUGAGAUGUUCGGUUAAGUCCGCUAACGAGCGCAACCCUCGCUGUGUGUUAUAUGUGUCACACAGGACUGCUGGUAUUAAGCCGGAGGAAGUGGGGACGACGUCAAGUCAGCAUGACCUUUAUAUCCAGGGCUACACACACGCUACAAUGGUCAGUACAAUGGGUUGCCAAGCCGCGAGGCGGAGCCAAUCCUAAAAAGCUGGCCUCAGUUCAGAUUGCAGUCUGAAACUCGACUGCAUGAAGUCGGAGUUGCUAGUAAACGCAGGUCGGCUAUACUGCGUUGAAUACGUUCCCGGGGCUU
RNAcentral lists this ribosomal RNA (454 nucleotides) under uncultured Anaerolineaceae bacterium. RNAcentral's name for it is "bacterial SSU rRNA". It matches the Rfam family "Bacterial small subunit ribosomal RNA", at positions 917 to 1381 of the family's 1533-position model. Lineage: Bacteria; Bacillati; Chloroflexota; Anaerolineae; Anaerolineales; Anaerolineaceae. The record is from RNAcentral.